GAUGAACGCUGACAGAAUGCUUAACACAUGCAAGUCAACUUGAAUUUGGGUUUUUAACUUAGGUUUGGGUGGCGGACGGGUGAGUAACGCGUAAAGAACUUGCCUCACAGCUAGGGACAACAUUUGGAAACGAAUGCUAAUACCUAAUAUUAUGAUAAUAGGGCAUCCUAUAAUUAUGAAAGCUAUAAGCGCUGUGAGAGAGCUUUGCGUCCCAUUAGCUAGUUGGAGAGGUAACGGCUCACCAAGGCGAUGAUGGGUAGCCGGUCUGAGAGGGUGAUCGGCCACAAGGGGACUGAGACACGGCCCUUACGCAUACGGGAGGCAGCAGUGGGGAAUAUUGGACAAUGGACCGAGAGUCUGAUCCAGCAAUUCUGUGUGCACGAUGAAGUUUUUCGGAAUGUAAAGUGCUUUCAGUUGGGAAGAAACAAAUGACGGUACCAACAGAAGAAGUGACGGCUAAAUACGUG
This 467-nucleotide ribosomal RNA is filed under the name uncultured bacterium. RNAcentral describes it as "partial 16S ribosomal RNA". It matches the Rfam family "Bacterial small subunit ribosomal RNA", at positions 28 to 507 of the family's 1533-position model. The record is from RNAcentral.